AUUUAAAAAUUCUUGAAAAGAUAUUUAUUUACAUCUUUAAAAGAAGAUUUAUUUGAGAAACACAAAAACACAUAGGCCACUUUACACAAUAAAAUAGGCAAUAAUAUCAUACAUAUUUUUGCAAGCAUAAAUACUCAAGUGUACUAACAACAGUUAUACAAGUAUGACAGUUAUGAGCAGAUGUACUAUAUUCAUAAAGAAAUAGGUUACAAAUGGAAAUGUAUAAAUGCAUACCACCAUAGUUAGUAGUUGUAGGCACCCAGAUUUAUAACGGCAGUCAUCUGAAAUACCAUGAUGAACAUCCUAAGUCUUUUGAUGACAUCAAUAAAAAACCAUGGUGCGUCACCACCAAAUAUGCAGUCACCCAAAGGGCCAAGAUCUCAAGAAAUGUUAUUUUUACAAAUGCAGAUGUACAAAAAAGGACAUAUUUUCCUUUACUGAGGAAGCUUCAAUGUUUUUACAUACAUGUACAAUGCUUACACACAAGCCAACAUUGUGAUGCUGUACUUUCAUGGAGUCAAAUUUGUAAAAGCUGCAUAAAACAAAUUAGAACUCUGAAAGCCUCUAUACAAUUUAUACUACAAGUAUUGGAAAUGAUGCAAAGAUGAGAUAUGAAGGGUAGUGAAUUGUAAAAAAUAAUACUGACAAUUUUAAAUAGUAGGGGGAAAACCCCAAAAGAUUUAAAAACUAAAAAGAAAAUUUGACAUAUUGAAAAGUGUAUUAUAGGGAUAGAUUAUGGGCAAUUGCACAGAGAUAGUCCAUAAGAGCUAGCUGAUUUUCAUGAUUAUUAACUAUGUUUUGAAGUCUUGCAUCAUGAUAAAUAGCUGCUUAUUAUUUUUUUGGACACAGAUCUCCUUGGAAAAUACAUUCACAUUCAUUUUCUAUGUGGCACUGCUCUUUUUGAAAUCCUUCUAUGAUACAAUACACACUGACAUUAGCAUUUCCUAUUAAAUUUUCCAAUCUUUUGAGCCCUGCUUCUGUGUUGUUUUGAGUACUCCAAAAUGCAUUCCACAAGCGUGCAUAUACAGACCACAAAUUUGGUGGAAACGAUAAUGGCGAUCAAACAGUAACACAUUGUAACACCAUUGGCUGUCUCCUUAUCCUACCACGAAAAUAAUUGUUUUCAAACUAGUCAAUAACGUCACCAGCUUCUUCAGGCAAAUGUGGCUUUAAUUCAUUAAAAGCUCCUGGAAUGUCAUCAGCUAGAAGGAAUGUCAAUGCAGGCCAAGGAAACAUUCUUAAACAGAAGUUUUCAUAACUGCAAUAUUGCUUGGCCAAACAACUCAUCUGAAUUUUCCACCAGAUGCAAAUAAAGACAACAGCAAGGUAAUAGUUCCGCCUAACGUGAUGCAACUAACAUAAUGUAACUGCUCUGUGUGCAACCGAAACCCCCACUAAUCCCACCUCCAGAAUUCAGCUUUCAGGAUGAUGGUGUUUGGGAUUGUGUUUUUUUGGAUUAAGAUCCAAAAGCCACUCUUCCUGUCCCCCAACAGGGUCAAGUGAGUCAAACGAGUCAUUCACAGCAGCUUCAGAGUUCACAAAGCCUUUUUACAGUUUGCGUAUCUCCAACCCUUCGCUACAAUCCUAGACAGCAAGGAGGGAAGGAAUUAUGAUUUUCAUUUUACAGGUGAGGAAAUCAGAACUCAGAGAGGUUGUGACUUGCCCAAGAUUUCCCAACAGGCAAAUGUCAGAGCCUGGAUCAGACUUCAGACUCAGGCCCCCUCUUUUUCUCCAGUGCCGUGUCACCUCUCACUAAGGGGUCAUCUAAUCCAGCCUGCUAUCUGAUAUACUAAUGCCUUCAACAACGUCCCUGUCCAGUGACUAUCCAGCUUCUGCCUAAACACUCCCCAAGACACGAGCCUCACUACCAUUCCCUGAAGCAGCGAGAUGCAUCUUUAGACAGCUCUGCCAGAAAACACUUGCUCAGUCAGGGUCAAAAUCAGCCGUCUUGUAACACUCCUGUCUGAGACCUCAGUAAUCAUGCCAUGCAGCCAUUCAAAUGCCUUCUGCGACACAGAUGCCGGCCCACUUCCAGCAUCUGCUCGCUCACCUCCAGUUUGGGGAAUUCAACACCACUCAAGCCGACCCUUUCCUUCUUUGAGUAUUUAAAAAUCAUCCUCCCUCCCGCAACUCCUCCCCACUGGCUUUGUCCUCUGUGGCCCCCACAGACCACAUCUGUUCCUUCUGCCCCAGGGUAGCCCCUCAGAGACAACGACCAUGCCCCUAAGUUUUAUUUUUCUUCUGGCUGCAGCCUUAACAGGUCACCAGGGACGGGAUGCUCUGUCCUGCUAGCCUGACUUCCUCUACUUCCCUUUCCCCUGAGCACAUGGACCCCCACAUUUCCACAGGAGGCCAACGUCAUGUCUAUAAUAACAACUACUGCCAUACACUGUGUGUUCACCAUGUGCCAGGCACCUUAAUGAGUGCUCUGCUUGUAUUCCAUCUUCAAUAACUCUGCAUUAUUAUUCCCAUUAGACUGCCUAUGUAUACAUGGCUGUCACUCUGGGUUGAGGGGACAACUGCAGGAAUCUGAAGGAUGGAUGUGACCAGAAACAACCCAGGUUUGAACCUGUGUCAGUCCCAAGACUCCAGGCCCCAAGGAAGGUGGAGGAGUUCAGAGGUAUACAGAAUCUGAUUAUGGGCACAGACCACAGGGGCAAAAGACUUGGGUUUAAAUUGUAACCGUUUACCGACUAUGUGACUUUGGGCAAGUCACUUCACCUCUCUCAGCCUCCAUUUCUUCAUGUUUAAAAUGGAGCCAGUAGCAGGGAGCUAGUAGUAUGGAGCCCACAUGUUGCAGUAAGGAGACAAUGAAUGCUGGCUCAGUGCUCAGCCAUGGAAGCUAACACCAACAUUGUCAUCAAUAUUAUUACAGAGAGAUCAUACCCAGGGCUGAGGCUGGUGCAUGUCAUAGUCUUGUCCCCCCUACACACACACACUGAGCCUGGUCAGACACAGUGUCUUCCUGCACCCCCACGCACCUUCCAGCAAAUGCCUGAAACCUGAGGUGGGUGCAGAUGGGCUAUAUGAGGGAGGGGUGUGAGAAGCCUGAGGGGGCAUGGCUUGUAAUGAACUGGGCAUCACUCAAACUUCUCUACAGUAAAGAGAAAGGGCAAUGGACAGGAAAUAAAGGGUGAAAGAGAGUGAGGAGAUAGAAAGAAAAAGACUGAAAAUGCUGCCAUCUCACUGCUAAUGAAAGCAUGGCUUCAGGCAAGUUAUUUUCCCUUCUGAGCCUCCAUGUGCAACUCUGUCAAAUGGGCUAGUAACUCUGUCUGAGCCUCCAUGUGCAACUCUGUCAAAUGGGCUGACUGGGGUGAGGAUGAAGUGAGGUGCUGCACCUGGAAGCCCCCAGCCAAGGUGUAGCCCACAGGAGCCCUCAGGGAAGCUCUGCUCCUGGGCAGGGAGAGCUCUGUCCAGCACGGCAAUCCACAAGAACAACAAUAUAAUCAGAACAACAUGAUGCCUACUGUUUUCCAAAUACUGUGUGGGGCCAGUCCUCACAGCAACCUUUGAGGAAGGUGUCAUUAUCCUCACUUACAGGUGAACAAACUGACAGUUAAGCAGGAAGCAGGUAACAUGUACAAAGUCACCCAGUAAGCCAAGAUGCCAGGACUGGCACCUGGGUCUGGCUGAUGCCAAAUUUUGUUCCCCGAAAAUCAAACUGUGGAUCCCCUGUGAGCCAGGCACUGGGUGUGAGAGCCUUUCCAUAAAUCUUCCCUCCUAGCCCAAGGAUCACCCUGGACCACUUCCACUGGGGAUGAUGGAGGAAGACUAGACAGAAGCCCAGUGCCCUGAGUUCUGGUCCCCUCUCUGCUACAAGACGCUGCAUGGUCACAGGCUACUCCUUCCUGCUCCUCAGCCUCAGUUUCUUUAUCUGUAUCAUGGAGGUCCUGGAAGUCCGGACUUUCAGGGUUUUCUGACUAACACUGAGAUUGCGCACACAGUAGCAGGAAGUUGGAGGAGGAAAGUCAUCUUAAUGGGAGCAGAGUACUGCAUUCCUCUAUCCCUUAAUAACCACUAAUUAGUUAAUCCCUGUAGCAGCAAAGUGAGUUAUCAGGUAUUAUUAGCCCCAAUUUACAAGCAGGAGGUUGAAGGAGAGAAGAACUGACAGAGGGAUUGGUCCCAGGCUCUAGGCAGAGUUGGGAUCAGUGAAAACCCAACAGACACUACAAAUUGCUUCAAGAUUGGGGGAGGAGCAGCAGAGAAGCGAGGGAGGCCUCAAAGGGGAGGAACCACACAGGAAGGUGCUUCUGAUCCUCAUGAAGUUGAGGUCCCUCUGAGGGCACCUGGGCCUGCUCUGUCUAUGCACAGAUGUGUGGACCUAGGCCCAGAGAUGGAGAGAGACUGGCCCAAGGUCACACAGCCAAAAGUGCAGACAAGGAGUGCAGAGCUCCAUCGGUUCUCAGCUGAGGCUGUUCUGAUGGGGGUUGGGGCGAUGGCUUCUAAGAGCUGAGCUUCUUCCAUGGCCCUCCCUGAAUUCCUAGAGAAGCAGCCAGCUGUAAGCCCCCAGGGAUGGUGUGUGUACUAAUGGCCUGUGACAAAGGCAGAGGAUAAGCUCCCUGCUCUGCAGACUAAACAAGGCACAAGAAGCCAAGUCAAACAAAAGCUGAGGUUUUGUGUCGGCCCAGCUGGUGGGCUAGAAGCGGCCCAGCCUCUUGGGAGGCCAGGCCCUGAGCCAUCACCUGGAAUCUCCUCUGGUGGCCUUUCUCCCUUUUGCCACUGAGGGCUGCACAGAAGCAUGUCCACAACACAUGUCCUCACUCUGUGACCAACCCUGCUUUGUAGCACACAAUGCACUUUCAUCACAAGGCCCCAAGAUGACAAAACUGAGGCUCAGAGAGGGGAAGGAAGAUGCUUACCCCAAGUCACAUAGCAAGUUAGGCAGGAGACUGGGCACAAGACCUCCUGACUUCCGCACCACCACAACCCUCAAAUUUUUUUUAAUGAGUGUUUUUCUUUAAAACAUAGUAUGAACACUGGAACAGAGGGAAAUGCAGUAUUCCAAUUUCCAUCCACAGUGUUGUCCGACCUGGCAUCUCACUGGAGUCCCCAAGCACAGGCCCUGGCAGCAGACCAGGCUGGGUUCAAGUCCUACUCCUGCCUUUUGCUAGCCCCACGGCUUUGGCAAAUUACUGCAGUUGGAAUUAUUAACUGUUGGAAUUAUUAAAUUGUUGGAAUUAUUAAGUGAACUAAUGGGCACAGACAUUUUGUUCCACACUUAGCAUAUAGUAAGCACCCAAUUAUUGCUAUUGCCAUUAGCAGCUCCGGCACUUACCUGCCAGGUGUGCAAGGCCCUCAACUGCUAAGCCUUCUGUCUCAAAUGAGACAUCACCAAGAUUUCUCCUAACUCCAGAGCCCUGUAGUCUCCACCACCUGGCCCAAAUGAAACGAUGGACCCCAGAAUCAGGGAAGUAUGGUGGGAACCUGUGUCACUUCCCUGUUUCUCUUUCUAACCAGGCUCCUUGCCCCUCCCCCAGGCUCCACACACCUGCAGCAGAAUGUUCCGGGAUGUGAGUCUGCACAGCAGCCAGUCUGCCCAUUCUCAGAGCUGCUCAGUUGAGUCACUCCUAGUGUUGUUCUGGGAGAAGGUGGAGACUUUCAUGUCCCUUCUCUGGCAGUGCUGCUCCUAAGCGUGUAGGGAGACAAAUCCCCCUGCCUUGUUUUGGGUACAAACAGUGGAAACAUAGGCAUCCUACCUGCAGAAGACUUAGGAGUCAGUCUCCAUCAACCCCUUGGAUCACGUGUCAAAGGGGUCCUCACCACAGCCCUAAUCGUGCAGGGAUUGCUCUGGUGUUUUCAGAACACAGCUCCUGUUCUAUAUUGCAGAGCUCACUUUCAAAAAAUUGAGAAUGAUUUGGCUUCAGGCCUGGGGUCAUUUCUCACUUCUUGUCUCCUGGUUCCCAACAGGAGCAAGAAGAGAUCUGCCUGGUGGGGAUUAAGGUGACACUGCUCUCUACCAGCUAGGGAGGUGCAACAGGACAUGUGAGGAGAUUACCUACCUGCCCCUGCUUACCUUUCUGUGUGUCAAGUUUAAGCCCCUAGAGGGUUAUGUGUAAUACUGUUUAGGAAUCUUAAACGAUAGAGACCCUAUUGCUGGGAUUAUAGGGUGUGGAGACAUUCUCGCCUUUCACACUGAGGCUUGGGAUGGCUGCCAACCUCAGUGCGUCAUGCCAGUUGCUGAGCCCUACUUUGCACAGAAGUGACUUAUUCCAGUGUAUUUAAAAUAACUAAUGUCCCAGGAGCCCCUUAUCUUUAGAGCACAUUCUGCCAUUGACUGAUAUGGACUCAAAGGAAAGUUUCCAGACCCAACUGUAGCUGGGAAAUUAUUGGGUCUGUGUUAAAAGACUCCACUCCUCAGGGUGCUUGCCAUGAGACUUUAGACAGGUCAUUUUCCCUGUCUGGGCUUCCAUUUCCUAACCUGUUACCAAAACAUAAUAACUUCCAGCAAUGUCUGGUUUUCAUGGCUAGGUGAACAUCCUUUCUAAUACCACAAAUUCAAGGGCUUAUUAUUGUUUCCUGAAAAAGUAUAGAGUUAUGGCUUCCAAGCAUCAGUUGAAAAGUAGAAAAGUAGAAAAGUCACAGUAGAAAAGUCAGUAUAAGAUAAUCGGAGGACUGUUAUUGGAAAGAACUGAUUGGCCUUUAGUCAAGUGUGUGUCUUUCCUAAUUAUUUUAUUGGGGGCUAUUAAAAUGUCCUUCUUUUGGAAAAUGGUGGCAGAUCUUAGCUUUUGAAGUUUAUAAGUUUCUUUGUUUGGCCUGACUUGGAAAACAAAAAAAAUGGACAUUCCAUGCAGAUUUCCCCUAUUUUUACUUGAAAUAUUGGUCAAUCCAAAAGUCUGAGAACUAUUGGCUUAAAAGACCAAGACUGUGCCUAUUAAACUGGUUUUACUGGCCAUGAAAUGGUUAAGUAGUAACAUCCCAGAACUGCUAUAAUCAUGGGAUGCUAGUUACUCCCUCUACUCAGAUCCUAAUUAAAAAGUACCUCCUAAAAAUGAAUUUUUAGGUGAUGAACAAGUUCCGAGAGACAACAUAGUACGGUGGUUAAGGACACAGGCUCUGGAGUCUUGCCAUCUGCGUUCAAAUUCUGCUUCUGCAAUUUACCAGCUGUUAACCUCUCUGGACCUUAGCUUCCUUAUCUGGAAGGUGGGGAUAAUAAAAGCACCCAACCCACAGAAUUGUUUUAAGGAUUAAAUACAUUAAGCCAUGUGAAACACUUAGAACAGGGUUGGCACAUAGCAAGUGUUCAAAAUACAGUACCUAUUAUUAUUAUAGGCAUUUACAUUUUAGUAAAGCAAUAAGUGUGUCUCCAAGUCAAUGAAUUCCAUCUCGGUGUGUGAAAGUUGUAGCUGCAAUAUCGAAAGUACUCCCUGUAAUCUUUGAGAACAACUCGCAGAGAAAAGGAAAAGUAGCAAAAAGUUGAGUAGUGUUAAAUGUUUUGAUUUCCAAAAUAAUAAAAGAAAAUGUAUCUGAAAGACUGCACUUAUCCUCUUAUCAACAAGGCAGUCUGUCCGAAAAUAGAAAACAAAUGGCAAAGAGAUGAAAAUAGUGGAGAAAAUGUAAGAAAAAUAAGGACGAAUUCAGUAAAUUUGACUAAUAGUACUUCCAGACAGUGAAAAAAAGAAGGUGAAAAAUUAUUUUCUUUAAAAAGAGAUUGAUUUCUCCAGAACCCAAGGGCAUAAGUCUCCAGAAUGAAAGAAUCCUUGAGAAUCAGGUCCAUAGAUUAAAAAACAAACAAACAAACAAAAAGCUCCACAAAACAAUUACUGCAAAGUACAAGAAUACUGGUGAUAAAGAAAAGAUUCUAUGAGGUUCCAAACAGCAAAACCAGGUCACGUACAAAAAUGGUCAGCAAUUAUAGUGAUUGAAGACUUCUCAGAAAGUAACACUGGAAGUGAGAAGAUGAUGGAACAUUGCCUCCAAAAUUCUGAAGGAAAAUUAUUUUUGACCUAGAAUUCAAUUCCCAGCUAAAUGAAAGAAUAGAAUAGAGACAUUUCAUACAAGCAAAAUUUCAAAAUAUUUUCUAUCAGGGCUGUGCUGAGCCAUAUUGGAGGCCGAAGCAAAAGGAAAAGUCAGUAAUGCUGACUUUGUCUUUAUCUAAAAUUCUGAUAUGUUUUUCAUAAUGAUUAUUUUGCACUAAUUUUUAUAUUUUAAAAUGCUGUUUAAAAUAUCAUUUAUUGUGAUUAUUGAGAUUUUGGGUGCUCUCUUGCAUUUUGCACUUGAAGCAAGUGCCUCACUUUCCUUUCUCUUGUCCCAUCCUUAAUUCCCAUGACCUUUCUUGGGAAGUUACUGAAAUAUGUGCUUCCCUCAAAAAAGGAGAAAAUCAAGAAGGAGAAAGACAUGGACACAAGGGCAAGGCAUGAAACACGGCAGAAAGAUCAAGGGAAUUCCUGUAGUGUUGGUGAAGGGUGAUCCUAGGGUGAUAACCAUGCCCAAAUCAGAGAGGCCAAGAGACCUAGAUUGCAGCAAGACAGAAGGCAAGAAGUGGAAACUGGUAAGUUCAUACGAAAACACAGAGAGGAGGGCAUUAAGGAUGGUAAUAAUUUUUUUUAAUUCAGCAAAUGAAAACACAGAUAAUUAUUAUCUCCAGACAAAACCAAAAGUCCAAAAAUGGAAAUAAAUAAAUAAAUAAAUAAAUAAAUAAAUAAAUAGUAUUCUACUAGUUCAGCUGUGAAAAGCAUUUAGAUAAUACUAUAAACACUGACUAUUGAUCUAAUUAACAUUAUGAUAUGACUAUAUUAGGAGGAUGGGGUAAUAGGAAGGAUGGGUACACAUGGUGGAAAUAGGUGUAAAAGAAAGCUAAAUCUUUAUUUUCCAUAGUGUUAAGCCCAAAAUCUGAAAUAUUAAGUAGUAGCUGACACCGAAAGCACAUGCAACAAAAGCAAAAAUAAACAACUGGGACUAUAUCAAAUUAAAUAGUUUCUUCACAGCAAAGGUAACCAUCAACAAAACAAAAAGACAUCCAACCUAUGGAAUAGGAGAAAAUAUUUCCAAAUCUAAUAUGUCCGAUAAGGAGUUAAUAUUUAAAAUAUAUAAGAAAUUCAGACAAUCAAUAGCAAAAAACCCCAAAUAACCAAAUUUAAAAAGGAUCAAAAGACCUGAAUAGGUAUUUUUCCUAAGAAUACAAAUGAUCAACAGGUAUAUAAAAAGAAUCUCAACUGGGUGCAGUGGCUCACACCUGUAAUCCCAGCACU
This 9188-nucleotide long non-coding RNA is filed under the name Homo sapiens (human). RNAcentral's name for it is "HSALNT0152793". The record is from RNAcentral. Lineage: Eukaryota; Metazoa; Chordata; Mammalia; Primates; Hominidae.